UACGAGGGGGGCAAGCGUUGUUCGGAAUUAUUGGGCGUAAAGGGCGCGUAGGCUGCGGGGUAAGUCGGGUGUGAAAUCUCAGGGCUCAACCCUGAAACUGCACUCGAUACUGCUCUGCUUGAGGACUGGAGAGGAGACUGGAAUUCACGGUGUAGCAGUGAAAUGCGUAGAUAUCGUGAGGAAGACCAGUGGCGAAGGCGGGUCUCUGGACAGUUCCUGACGCUGAGGCGCGAAGGCCAGGGGAGCAAACGGG
RNAcentral lists this ribosomal RNA (253 nucleotides) under uncultured prokaryote. RNAcentral describes it as "partial 16S ribosomal RNA". It matches the Rfam family "Bacterial small subunit ribosomal RNA", at positions 524 to 776 of the family's 1533-position model. The record is from RNAcentral.